Molecule: small nuclear RNA, 103 nt
Organism: Urocitellus parryii (Arctic ground squirrel)
Lineage: Eukaryota; Metazoa; Chordata; Mammalia; Rodentia; Sciuridae
Source: RefSeq, a predicted model, not a curated record
GUGCUUGCUUCAGCAGUAUAUAUACUAAAAUUGGAACAAUACAGAGAAUGUUAGCAUGGCUCCUGCACAAAAAAAAAAAAAGAAAGAAAAAGAAAAGAAAAUU